Molecule: ribosomal RNA, 652 nt
Filed under: uncultured bacterium
Lineage: Bacteria
Description: bacterial SSU rRNA
Rfam family: Bacterial small subunit ribosomal RNA
Source: RNAcentral
CGGUAGGGCGAGUAAAGCAGUAAUGCGCUUGGGGAUGGGCCUGCGGCGGAUUAGCUAGUUGGUGGGGUAACGGCCUACCAAGGCGAUGAUCCGUAGGGGGCGUGAGAGCGUGGCCCCCCACACUGGCACUGAGACACGGGCCAGACUCCUACGGGAGGCAGCAGUGAGGAAUAUUGCACAAUGGGCGCAAGCCUGAUGCAGCAACGCCGCGUGAGGGACGAAGGCCUUCGGGUCGUAAACCUCUUUUCUGGGGGACGAGUAAGGACGGUACCUCAGGAAUAAGUCUCGGCUAACUACGUGCCAGCAGCCGCGGUAAAACGUAGGAGGCGAGCGUUAUCCGGAUUUACUGGGCGUAAAGCGUACGCAGGUGGCUUCGUGAGUCGGACAUGAAAGCUCCCGGCUUAACUGGGAGAGGUUGUUCGAUACUGCGGGGCUUGAGGUUGGGAGAGGGACGUGGAAUUCCCGGUGUAGUGGUGGAAUGCGUAGAUAUCGGGAGGAACACCAGUGGCGCAAGCGGCGUCCUGGCCCACACCUGACGCUGAGGUACGAAAGCGUGGGUAGCAAACAGGAUUAGAUACCCUGGUAGUCCACGCUGUAAACGAUGUCAACUGGGUGUCGGUAGUUUUACACUAUCGGUGCCGAAGCUAACGCG